RNAcentral lists this ribosomal RNA (514 nucleotides) under Shigella sp. UW24. Its description in RNAcentral is "bacterial SSU rRNA". It matches the Rfam family "Bacterial small subunit ribosomal RNA", at positions 251 to 758 of the family's 1533-position model. Lineage: Bacteria; Pseudomonadati; Pseudomonadota; Gammaproteobacteria; Enterobacterales; Enterobacteriaceae. The record is from RNAcentral.
GGUGGGGUAACGGCUCACCUAGGCGACGAUCCCUAGCUGGUCUGAGAGGAUGACCAGCCACACUGGAACUGAGACACGGUCCAGACUCCUACGGGAGGCAGCAGUGGGGAAUAUUGCACAAUGGGCGCAAGCCUGAUGCAGCCAUGCCGCGUGUAUGAAGAAGGCCUUCGGGUUGUAAAGUACUUUCAGCGGGGAGGAAGGGAGUAAAGUUAAUACCUUUGCUCAUUGACGUUACCCGCAGAAGAAGCACCGGCUAACUCCGUGCCAGCAGCCGCGGUAAUACGGAGGGUGCAAGCGUUAAUCGGAAUUACUGGGCGUAAAGCGCACGCAGGCGGUUUGUUAAGUCAGAUGUGAAAUCCCCGGGCUCAACCUGGGAACUGCAUCUGAUACUGGCAAGCUUGAGUCUCGUAGAGGGGGGUAGAAUUCCAGGUGUAGCGGUGAAAUGCGUAGAGAUCUGGAGGAAUACCGGUGGCGAAGGCGGCCCCCUGGACGAAGACUGACGCUCAGUGCGAAA